This 253-nucleotide ribosomal RNA is filed under the name uncultured bacterium. Its description in RNAcentral is "partial 16S ribosomal RNA". It matches the Rfam family "Bacterial small subunit ribosomal RNA", at positions 524 to 776 of the family's 1533-position model. The record is from RNAcentral.
UACGUAGGGCGCAAGCGUUGUCCGGAAUUACUGGGCGUAAAGCGUGCGCAGGCGGCUUUGCAGGACAGAUGUGAAAUCCCCGGGCUCAACCUGGGAACUGCAUUUGUGACUGCAUGGCUAGAGUGCGGCAGAGGGGGAUGGAAUUCCGCGUGUAGCAGUGAAAUGCGUAGAUAUGCGGAGGAACACCGAUGGCGAAGGCAAUCCCCUGGGCCUGCACUGACGCUCAUGCACGAAAGCGUGGGGAGCAAACAGG